Oryzias melastigma (Indian medaka) is the source of this 610-nucleotide long non-coding RNA. RefSeq lists it as uncharacterized. The record is from RefSeq and is a predicted model, not a curated record. The transcript is spliced from 4 exons. NCBI's taxonomy places the organism in Eukaryota, Metazoa, Chordata, Actinopteri, Beloniformes, Adrianichthyidae.
ACUGUUUUUCUUAACACCUUCUGGCUAUUAGUAUUUUUCUUUCAAAAUAUUUUUUUUCCUUAUUGCAAUUAAUACUCCCAAUUGGUGACUGUUGUUGCCAUAGAAACAUUGACUUGGACAGACUCAGACUAAUUACUGUCAUUUGGCUCCAACAUGGCGACAUCCGUAUCUCAGAAAAAUGGCGACUAAGUUGGUUUCAUUUUGCUGGAGGUUUGGUCAAAUCCCGCCAGCCUGCGCCGCCUCUUCAGCUCAUCCUCCACAGAGGAACUCAGCUGGUGGCUGAUGGAUGAGUUUUGCAGCGAGCGGCGAGGAAGACUGUUCCUCUGAGGCAAGGCAGAGCUGUGGUUAGUCAGAGAGCGGACUCGGCGCCGGCCCUCAGCAGAUCAUUUGGGUAGACGAGCAAAAACCCAAAGAGGAUGAGCAGAAUCUCCAAAGAGCUCUUCCCACGGUCCACAAAGUCUCCAUUAAAGAUAGACGUGAUUGAUGUUUGGAAGGAUUCUUAGAAGUCUCCAAGUUUCCCCAAGAAUCUGCAGAACAUACCGAGCGUGGAGCUGCUACUGGGAGAAAAAACAUGUGCGUGAACAAACUGACUUCCAGAGUAAAUAUAAAA